UUUAUAGUAAGAGGAAAAUCCGUCGACUUUAGAAAUCGUGAGGGUUCAAG
RNAcentral lists this transfer RNA (50 nucleotides) under Betula davurica. Its description in RNAcentral is "partial tRNA-Leu". Lineage: Eukaryota; Viridiplantae; Streptophyta; Magnoliopsida; Fagales; Betulaceae. The record is from RNAcentral. RNAcentral also lists the same sequence under 1 other name.